This 460-nucleotide ribosomal RNA is filed under the name uncultured bacterium. RNAcentral describes it as "partial 16S ribosomal RNA". It matches the Rfam family "Bacterial small subunit ribosomal RNA", at positions 338 to 795 of the family's 1533-position model. The record is from RNAcentral.
CCUACGGGAGGCAGCAGUGAGGAAUAUUGGUCAAUGGGCGCGAGCCUGAACCAGCCAAGUCGCGUGAGGGAGGACGGCCCUACGGGUUGUAAACCUCUUUUGCCGGGGAGCAACGGGCGCCACGUGUGGCGCCACUGAGAGUACCCGGAGAAAAAGCAUCGGCUAAAUCCGUGCCAGCAGCCGCGGUAAUACGGAGGAUGCGAGCGUUAUCCGGAUUUAUUGGGUUGAAAGGGUGCGUAUGCGGAUCGUUAAGUCAGUGGUCAAAUUGAGGGGCUCAACCCCUUCCCGCCAUUGAAACCGGCGUUCUUGAGUGGAAGAGAAGUAUGCGGAAUGCGUGGUGUAGCGGUGAAAUGCAUAGAUAUCACGCAGAACCCCGAUUGCGAAGGCAGCAUGCCGGCUUCCGACUGACGCUGAAGCACGAAAGCGUGGGGAUCGAACAGGAUUAGAUACCCCUGUAGUC